RNAcentral lists this ribosomal RNA (458 nucleotides) under uncultured bacterium. RNAcentral describes it as "bacterial SSU rRNA". It matches the Rfam family "Bacterial small subunit ribosomal RNA", at positions 335 to 784 of the family's 1533-position model. The record is from RNAcentral.
ACUCCUACGGGAGGCAGCAGUGGGGAAUAUUGCACAAUGGGCGCAAGCCUGAUGCAGCCAUGCCGCGUGUGUGAAGAAGGCCUUCGGGUUGUAAAGCACUUUCAGUCGUGAGGAAGGUGGUAGUGUUAAUAGCACUAUCAUUUGUACGUUAGCGACAGAAGAAGCACCGGCUAACUCCGUGCCAGCAGCCGCGGUAAUACGGAGGGUGCGAGCGUUAAUCGGAAUUACUGGGCGUAAAGCGCAUGCAGGUGGUUUGUUAAGUCAGAUGUGAAAGCCCGGGGCGUCAACCUCGGAAUAGCAUUUGAAACUGGCAGACUAGAGUACUGGUAGAGGGGGUUAGAAUUUCAGGUGUAGCGGUGAAAUGCGUAGAGAUCUGAAGGAUACCGGUGGCGAAGGCGGCCCCUGGACAGAUACUGACACUCAGAUGCGAAAGCGUGGGAGCGAAACAGGAUUAGAUA